This 305-nucleotide ribosomal RNA is filed under the name uncultured bacterium. RNAcentral describes it as "bacterial SSU rRNA". It matches the Rfam family "Bacterial small subunit ribosomal RNA", at positions 338 to 661 of the family's 1533-position model. The record is from RNAcentral.
CCUACGGGAGGCAGCAGUGGGGAAUAUUGCACAAUGGGGGAAACCCUGAUGCAGCGACGCCGCGUGAAGGAAGAAGUAUUUCGGUAUGUAAACUUCUAUCAGCAGGGAAGAAAAUGACGGUACCUGACUAAGAAGCCCCGGCUAAAUACGUGCCAGCAGCCGCGGUAAUACGUAUGGGCAAGCGUUAUCCGGGUUUACUGGGUGUAAAGGGAGCGCAGGCGGCUUGGCAAGUCUGAUGUGAAAGGCUGGGGCUCAACCCCAGGACUGCUUUGGAAACUGCCAUGCUAGAGUGCUGGAGAGGUAAG